RNAcentral lists this transfer RNA (84 nucleotides) under Blastococcus sp. TF02A-26. RNAcentral describes it as "tRNA-Leu". It matches the Rfam family "tRNA". From Rfam's summary of the family: Transfer RNA (tRNA) molecules are approximately 80 nucleotides in length. Their secondary structure includes four short double-helical elements and three loops (D, anti-codon, and T loops). Further hydrogen bonds mediate the characteristic L-shaped molecular structure. tRNAs have two regions of fundamental functional importance: the anti-codon, which is responsible for specific mRNA codon recognition, and the 3' end, to which the tRNAs corresponding amino acid is attached (by aminoacyl-tRNA synthetases). tRNAs cope with the degeneracy of the genetic code in two manners: having more than one tRNA (with a specific anti-codon) for a particular amino acid; and 'wobble' base-pairing, i.e. permitting non-standard base-pairing at the 3rd anti-codon position. The record is from RNAcentral. Lineage: Bacteria; Bacillati; Actinomycetota; Actinomycetes; Geodermatophilales; Geodermatophilaceae.
GCGGGAGUGGUGUAACGGCAGCCACGCCAGACUUAGGAUCUGGUGCCUUCGGGCGUGCGGGUUCGACUCCCGCCUCCCGCACCC